This 24778-nucleotide long non-coding RNA is filed under the name Lactuca sativa (garden lettuce). RNAcentral's name for it is "long non-coding RNA (LSAT_LNC010069)". Lineage: Eukaryota; Viridiplantae; Streptophyta; Magnoliopsida; Asterales; Asteraceae. The record is from RNAcentral.
UUUAUUGGUAAUUCGGUACUCCUAUAUUUAAGGAGGAACACAUUCACAUAAUUUCUCAAUACAAGCUGCAUGGGUAGGAGGUGUACACGGGAAGAAAUCACAUUCAUAUUGAUUUCUACAUGUUUCAACAAGACCUUUGUUGUCGAAAAUUGGGGUUGGAGUUUGGUUUCUACUAUCAACGUCGAAAUUUGUCUGCGAUUUUGCAAAUUGAACCGGUGAGGCUGCAAUAGCACAAAUACAUGUUUACAUUAUUGUCCAUUCUCCAAAAGUUUAUGAAACAUAUAAGGAACAUCAUAAGCCUUAUUUGUGUGAUAUAUAUAUAUAUAUAUAUAUAUAUAUAUAUAUAUAUAUAGAGAGAGAGAGAGAGAGAGAGAAUAACUAUAGUGAACACGAAUUUGAUGAAAAACAAUUUAAUGUGUUAAGAUGCUUGGGCCGUAAACUCCAUAUCAUGGGCAGUAAACUCAAUCUAAAGUGUUAAGAUGCCACUUAAACACAUCAUAAGCCAUGGAUUAAAGUCUAGAAGCAACCACAAUCGAUUUAGGGGCCUUAAACAUGAUGAAAACCAAACCUUACAUGGUAUAAGACUAUAAACGCUAAGGGGCCAAAGUGCUCUGAACUAAAAUUAUACUUCAAAAUAUAAGUAUUUUCAAAAUAUACAAGUAUACCUAACCGUCGAGAUUCGUAACUAUAAGUAGAACAAAACAUAAGUGAAUGGGUGUUGUACGCUGCGGUUAAACCUGGGCAGUUAUGUAGUAGUGUCUAGGGUCAAUAUAGCCUGAUCAACUAUAUAUUCAUUCGAGACACGGCCAACAUGUGCUUGGGAGUGACUGUGGUAUGCAGCAUGCCUAAAACUUACCCAAUACCCAAACAUCGAGCCAUUGUCGUAGCGAAUCAUGAAAUACUAUGGGAGUAUUUCUCGAGCCAAUCCGUUGUAGAAAUCCUUAUUUAAGCGUUGCUCCUUGAUCAUUCCUUUAGCGAUAAUUUAUUUGCUUUGAUAACUCUUUCCUGCUUUAUCGCUUAACAGGAAUAUAUAUAUCUGUCAUAUCUCUUGAUUCAAUUCAGAGGACUUACCAUCCUCUUUUUCCUGAUCUUUUUAGAUCAGGAUGCCUGCAAGAAAGAGACCCAGCUCAAAGACCAAUAACCCUCCGCCACCACCUCCUCCUGAAUUUGACCUUGUGAUGUUCCAGGCAGCUAUUACUGCCGCAGUAGCAGCUGCUAUGUCUCAAAUGAACUCCGGUGUUUCCGAUGGUUCAGGAGGUGGUACCCAAACUCAAAACAAAGAAGGUAGCCAGGGACAACGAAGGGAGUGUUCCUAUAAAGAUUUCAUGAACGCAAAACCCACAUCCUUCGAUGGCAUUGGAGGUGUCGUUUCCCUCACCCGAUGGUUCGAGAAAAUCGAAUCUAUCUUUGAAAUCUGUGCCUACUAUGAUUCUGACGAGGUGAAGUGUGCCGCCUGUAACUUCAUCGAUAAAGCCCUGACUUGGUUGAAUGGCCGAGUCAAAUCCCUAACCCUACGUGUAGCCAAUGCUAUGGGUUAGGAAGCCAUGAAAGAACUUCUGCUGGUGGAGUACUGCCCUCGGGGCAAAAUACAAAAGCUGGAGCAUGAACUCUGGAACCUAAAGAUGAAGGGUUCCGAUAUCGCCGCUUAUACUUCCAGAUUCGAUGACCUGGCGCUACUCUGUCCGGGAUUUGUUACCCCGAAGAGUAAAAAGAUCGAGAGAUUCAUCUGGUGGAUGACCCAAUUGACCAAAGGAAAUGUCUUAGUUGCGAGGCCAGAUACAUAUGACAGCGCCAAAAGUUUAGCCCAGACUCUGAUUGACCAUAGUGAUGAUCACGAGGAAGCAACCACUACUCCUGAACCGACCAAGAGGAGUGGUGAGAAAAGAAAGUUUUGGAAGAAAAAGAAGAGUCAGCCUUCUCAACGAUCCUCAAAGAAACAACAGACUAUAGCAGUCCAUGCUGCUACUAUCCCUACUGCUGCUGCUUCAGCCAUGGGAUCCACAGCACAAACACCUACUUGUCGGUAUGCUGGUAACCUUCCCCAAUGCGACCAGUGUAAAUACCACCGUAACCUCGGCCCCUGCCGUGAACUGUCAUGCACCAACUGUGGUAAAAAGGGGCAUACGAUUCGAUUCUGCAAAGCACCAGCCCAAUCAGCCAAUCAAUCUUCUGGAGCAGGUGUUGGUCGGGCCUGCUACAAUUGUGGAGAAAUCGGGCAUUUCAAGAGGAACUGCCCCAAGAAGGCGACCACUGAUAACACUGGGAGAGUCCUAGCUAUGGAACGAAAAGAGACAGUCGCUGAUCCUACCAUUGUUUCGGGUACAUUCCUUCUCGACAACUCUUAUGCUAGUAUCCUAUUCGAUUCAGGUGCUGAAAGAAGUUUUGUUAGCCAUUCAUUCAAACAUAACCUUAAACAAAAUCCCCAAUCAUUAACCGAAACGUUUACUGUCGAGAUGGAUAACGGUGAGAAAGAAACUGCUAGUGAUAUAUUCAUAGGUUGUGCCCUUACCCUGAACGAUCAUUCAUUUCCCAUCAAUCUUAUGCCAGUUUCAAUAAAGAGCUUCGAUGUUAUCAUUGGCAUGGAUUAGUUGAGUCCCAAUCAUGCUGAUAUCCUUUGCUACAAAAAGGCAAUCCAUCUCAAUCUUCCUGCGGGUCAAACUUUCAUGAUCUAUGGCGAUAAGCUUAGCUCCAAUCUUCGCAUCAUUUCCUACAUCAAAGCUCAAAAACUUUUGCGAAAGGAGUGCCAAGCAUUCCUAGCUCAUGUAAUCAACGAGAAACAGGAAGUUAAAGACCUCGAGAGCAUCCCCGAAGUCUGCAACUUUCCUGAUGUCUUUCCCGAAGUCUGCAACUUUCCUGGAGCUACCCCCGUAGCCAAAUCUCCGUAUCGCUUAGCUCCAGCAGAAAUGCAGGAGUUAUCCAGUUAACUCAAUGAGUUGCUCAGCAAAGGGUUCAUCAAACCGAGUUCCUCACCCUGGGGAGCUAUGGUAUUGUUUGUGAAGAAGAAAGAUGGAUCCUUUCGGAUGUGUAUCGACUACCGUGAGCUGAACAAGUUGACCGUCAAAAACCGAUAUCCUCUUCCGCGAAUAGAUGAGCUCUUCGACCAAAUCCAGGGAGCCAACUACUUCUCAAAUAUAGACCUUCAGUCAGGGUACCAUCAGCUAUGAGUUCAUGAGAGUGAUGUUUCCAAGAUGUAACGCCUGCAGAUCCAGGUUAGUCAAUUUAGAGGCGAUAAGUGUCGAAAACGACUUUUCAACAAAAGAUUAUUUAUAAUAAAUAGUCUUAACCAAGUUGUAGAAUAUGUAUCAAGGUUUCCGAACAUAUAAAGAACACCGAAAUCCGAGUUAUAACGAAGAAAUUAUAACCUGUCGAAGUUUUACGACGGAACCGACAUGAUACCGGGAAGCGUAAAUAGUGAAUUUACGAUAGAGCGAGAUUCAGCCUUAGCGAUCUAAACGAAAGUCAUAGAAUAUGUUAAACUAAGAACAUCGAUAAAAAGAAUGCCCAAAUCUGACUUCAUAUGAAGAAGUUAUGAUUUUUCGAAGUUUCGGACCAGCAGUGUAUAGCCCGAAAUUCUAAUAUUAGAUCGAGCGGUUUUUAGCCGACACGACCUGAACGAGAAUCGAAGAUCUCGUUAAGAGUAGCGUAACGAGAAAAAGAUGGGCGAAAACGGACGUUAGAUGAAGAAGUUAUGAGAAUUUAACGAACCAAUCCUGUCUGGGUCUGUUAGUAAUAUAAAAUUUAAAAUCGAGUCAAAAUUAGCCGACGAAGUCUAAACGAAAGUUGUGGAGCAUAUUCCCACCUUCGCAUGGAUAUAAAUAAUGUUGAAAACGGAGGUCGUACACGAAUGUUAUGAAUUUUUAAAGUUGACUUUGCAAAUUGCAAAAUCUGAUGUAAGAUAGAUGACGUGGCCUCAUCACAGCCGUCCAUCGCCAAUCACAGAGCGCCCUUCGGAUCACGCCACAUGGCCUCGCUUCGCCUUACGCCCCGCGUCGGAGUUCGGUACGCCCAUCGUACCAUCGGUCCUUAUCCUCUUCCGAAGUGCGAGCCAGCUGGUGCGAGCUGGCAACCCUAUCCGAACUACGCCCAGCGUAGCUGCUGAACGCGCAACGUAGUCCGAGCUGCUGAGCGCCUAUAAAAGGCUGCGAAGAUUUUCGAGUUUUCACACAAUUUUCCUUCUCUCUCUAGAUUUCUUUCUCUCUCUCUAGCCUAUUUUGGGCCCCCUAAACCCUACAUAAACUCCUUAGCUCUCGAGGGAAGCCCCGAGGCUCCCGGAGUCCCGAGAAAAAGAGCCUUUCAGUUUCGAAACGUGGCUCCAACUAAGUUCUGGUUUUAGAUAAUAUUCGCUGUAAGUGUGCUACGCUUACACAAUUUUUAAUAUAGCUUUCAAAUAAUUAUAGGAAUGUUAUUAGGUCCUUAAAAUAAUUAUUUGGGCUAUUAUUAUGAGUUAUAUUGAGUGUUAUUAACGCUUAAUAAUAGUCAGACUAAUUAAUUUGUCGCGGUUAUCGUUAGACUAAACCCUAGUGGUAUUGGUACUAGGUUUUAUCGAAGGAAAAUCGUUUUGAGAGUAUCGAAGCGUUGUCUGAGUGCUGAGUCAUCACCUUUCAGGUGAGUGCAUGGUCCCCUUCAACUUACACAUAGAUAUGAAGUAUUUACUACGUGCUAUGUGUGCAUAUUGUCUGUUUACUUGCUGUCUAUGCUCGGUGAACGAUUUUAUACAUGUUUUAAAUGAUUUAAACUGUAUAUAUAUUUUAUAUCUACGAAAAUGUUGGGGUAAGACAUGGGUAGAUGUAAUAGAUGAAAUAUGAGUUGGAUGAUGAGUUGAGAGGAAAAAUAGACUGUGGGGUGAGGGUGACAAGUGGACGAUGUGAGAAGCCUUUUUUCCCAAAUGACGGCCCCCGUCAUUCAGCAGAGUAUGGAUGACAACCACGGACUAUUCUAGACAGUCCAGUGGAACACUAGUAGGCUCGCAACCUGUAGGUGUUGUGAACGAUGUGUUCACUGGUGUACUCUAAAAACCCAUUAAUAUGUAUUGCGAGUGGACUCUCGAAAACGAUACUGUCAAUAAAACCCGAAAGAAGCGCCUAAAGGACUCUACUGGCAAAAGCGCCUAAUAGAGAACCUCAUAACCCCGGCAGAUGCACCUAAAGGACUAUUUCGGCAGAUGCGCCCCAUAGAGAAUGUCACAAUUUUGGUAGUUGCGCCCUAGUGACAGGAGUAGCAGGUUGUGCUUCAUAGAUGUGUCAUUUANGGACUUCAUGUUGUUUCCUUAGGAUGAUCCUUAGGAAUGAAUGAAUGAGAAAUAGCUGAUUCUUAGGGUAGAUCCUUAAGAAUAAAGAAGAUAAUGGGGAUGGGUAAUUGGGUUGAUUGUUUGAUUGUUUAAACAUAAUAAUUAUAUUAUUGUGGGUUGAAAACCCUAUGUACUCACCAGGUUUCCCAACCUGACCCACUCAGUUUAUUUAUAUCACAAGUGUUGAUAUGAAGUGACAUUACACUGAGAGAUUUAAAGAGAUGUAGAUCACUAGUGUAAAUAAUUGUAAAUUCUGUUUAUGCUUAUGUUUCUAUAUUAACGAUGACAUCCCAAACGUUUCAAAAUGAAAUAAAUACGUUUCUUCGAAAAUAUUUUAAUAACGUAUUUAUCAUGUUUUUCUGGGAACAAAUUCCGCAACAUUUUUAUUAAAAGAAGUACUCUGAUUUUUAUAAAGCAUAAACAAAAUCGAUCUUUUCUGGCCGUGAAAUGGGGAUGUCCCAGUUGGUAUCAGAGCAUUAGUUUAAGCGAACUAGGAAUAUGGAUUUAUUUCUAGACUUAAACUUAGAAUGCUAAGCGAUGAUUGUGAGGUUUGAGCACUAGAUUAUUUUAGGAAUUGUGCCUAAAAUGUUUUGAUGUGCUAAAUGCUUGUUCCUGAUAUGCUGUUAUUUGUUCGGAUCUAUGGUCUGUUGCCGACCGGAUCUGGAAACCUUAUGUGUUAAGGAUUCUAAUCGUUUAAAUACGAUAUUAGAACUAGCAUAUAAAUGUUUCGGGGUGAUAAGGAUGAUUGAAACGUCAAUCCUAAAUAAAGAUCUAGAAUCACCUUAUUCGGUGUAUAGAUCAAGAUGGUAAGGACCCGUAGUGGAAACGCGAAUGCAAAUGGGAACCGAGAUCAACCCUAGUGAUUGAGCAAUUACCGAUUGUGGUAGCCGCUGCUGAGCCAAUAACGAUGGCCGGAAUGUAAGCGAUGAUCCAGGCAAUGUUGGAUCGUUAAAUGGAGGAAACCAAACGUUUGCUCCAGCAAAAUUGAGAGGAAGCGACCAUUCAGAUCGAACAGUCCGAGUUGAACGAAGGGCGGACUGAGGAGGGAAACUAUAGUGGGACUGUUGGUGAAGCCAACCCACCGAUAGUUAGGAAAAACCACGAGGGUGGAGGAAAUGAUGGACAUGGAUGCAAAUACAAGGAUUUCAUGGCGUCCAAACCACCGAGGCUAUCAGGAAGCCUGACGCCGGUGGAAGUCAUGAACUAGAUCUCUGAGACGGAGACGAUGUUUGAGAUUUGCGAGUGUAGCAACAAGCAGAAGACCGCUCUCGCGGUUCCUCUGUUGAAAUCUGGAGUACUAAGCUAGUGGAAGCUACUGGCUGAUGCAAUGCACAAAGGUGAAGCAAGCAAGAUGUCAUGGGAGGAUUUUCUGGUGCAGUUGAAGAUGCAAUACUGCUCUGAGCAGGAUCUUCUGGAGAUCACCAAUGAAUUCCAUAAUCUGAAGAAGGGAAGAAUGAGCGUUACUGAAUAAGUUGCAAGCUUUACUGAGAAAAUAAAGCUUGUUCCUCACCUCGUCCCAACUGAACUCUCCAAGGUUAACAAAUUUGCCCUCGGAUUACCAGCGGACUUUGGUCCAAUGGUCAAGCAAAAUACCACUCUGAAAGCCGCCAUCUGGGCUGCUAAAAAUGUGGAGACCCAGCUACGAGAGAAGAGUCUGGAGAGAGCAGAGGUGGGAGAGAAAAGGAAAAUUGAAGGAUCUUCAAAUUCCAACGAGAAGAGAAAAUUCUCGAAGAAGUUCGAAAGAGGAGGAGGAAGUGAGGAAAGAUGGUGCGAGAAGUGCAAAAAGAAACACUCUAGAAAAUGCGGUGAGGAGGUGACUUGUUUCAAGUGUGGGAAGCAUGGGCAUUAUGCCAACGAAUGUAAAUUCAACAAAAGAGUGUGUUACGAAUGUAAUGAGGAAGGGCACUUCAAGAAAGAUUUCCCAAAGAGAGAAGGGGCUACAAAGCCAAAUGUGCCGCUAAAGCCAAAGGCAAGAGCAUUUCAAAUGAUCAUUGACGAAGCAGCUGACGAUGCAAGGAAUCAAGAGUAAGGAUGGAUAUAUAGAGAUCGAGUUAUGAAGAAGCCAUAUAAAUAGUGUCAUAUGAUGUAGCCUAUUAAAUGCAUAAUCUAGGAUGAACUUGAACACCCAUGUAAUCGUUUCAAGUAAUAAAAUAAAAACCUUCGUUUUGAUAUUUGAUAUGUUAAGUUGUUAUGUGAUGGUGACUUGGGAAACUGCGGGACAAUACUUGGGACGAGUAUGAGUAGGUGUGAAUGGUAGGAGGCCUAUUNAUUGUGACAACCCAAGUGUUCCCGUUACAUUUUCCCCGUUACCGUUAACGGAAUAUUCCACUGUAUAAAAGUUCUGUUAGUUAGAGGGCGUUAAUUUAAUAAACAUUCCAUUUGUUUAUAAUUAAAAUGCCGUUAAGUCGUGAUAAAAGGAGAUGAAAACACAAGACACACAUUUCCAUUAAAUUGGAAAAUGUCAAGUUUUAUUAUUACGACCACUAAAUCGGGAGCGACCAAAAGCCCCGUUUAACGGCACUAUCGGGUAACAUUCCACUGAGCCCCGACUCAAAACCCUAUAUAAGGGUGAGUGGAGUCCAUUGGAGACUUUUUACACUCUCUCUCUCUCUAUACUCUUUCUCUAGACCCGUUUUCUCCCCGAAUCCGCAACCAAACGCUUCCAAAUUGUAAGUCCGGCUACCCUAGCUUAUUCUAAACAUUAUGAUUCAUGUUUAUAGCCCAAAAAUCGGACAUAGAAGCACUAGAAAAGGAGUUUACGGCCUAAGCCCCUCCUUAGGCCGUAAACACCUAAAACAAGGCCAAAAUGACCCAACCUUGUCCCCAAUGGCUAGGAAAGAAAUUGAGGUAUUAGCUUAGGAGUGUUUAAACACUAAAAUGCUGGGAUUUAGGACUCACAGAAGAGUUUACGGCCCAAGCACUUGCUUAGGCCGUGAACUCCUCAAGUCAUGGUCCCAAAUGCACUCCAAGCUCAUCUUAGGGCUUCAUACAUAAUAUAGGAACUUAUCCUCUUGAGUUUAGACCCUUGAAACACUCCAAAAUGAUUUAUUAAAGGGAUUUUACGGCCCAGACAAGGGUCAAGGCCGUAAACACCCUUAAACAUGCCUAAAAUAAUUGUUUUGUCCCCCAAAUGGCCUUAUACAUUUACCANAUGAAAUACUAGGAGGGGAUUUAAAGGCUUAAACACAAGGAAAUGAGGCAUGACUUGGAGUUUACGGCCCAAGCAUUUAUCUAGGCCGUAAACUCCCCAAAACCCACUCAAAUGAUGGUUUUAAUCCUCCAAAAUAGCAUCAUACUUCAUUAGAAAUCACUAGAAAGGCAUUAGGGGCUUUAAACUUCCCAAAACUCUAAGGAUUAGAGUUUACGGCCGUAAACUCCUUUAGGAGUGGUCCCUUGGCCAUAAACUCAUAGAACAUGCCCUUAGAGGCCUCAAACCCACUCAUGCCUUUUGGGAAAAGUGCUUAGAAUAAUUCAAUGAACAAGUUAGAACCAUAAAACACCCAAGAAUAUACCCUUGGGAGUUUACGGCCGUAAACUCCCUUGAGUUAGGCCGUAAACUCCAAGUUGGUCCAUCUUAAUGCUUUAAACCCAUUCACACACUUGAUAUUUGAGUUUAGCAAAGUUCCACAACUGAUAGGAGACCCUUAGCACCCUUAAACGCUACCCGGGACCCCAAGCACGUAACCAAAAGUGUUUUCCGCUCCUUUGAGCGUUUAUAUUUGUUUAAUUAUAUUAAAUAUACUAAUUGUAUGUGAACAUAUGUUAUCAUAGGUUAAAUAGGUCAUUGUGUGUGUUCAAGUCCUUGCGUGACACUGAACGCCCCAAACGGCACUUUCGUCGGACUACUUACACCNACACCAGGUGAGUUCAUACCCCUGAAUGAACCUUUUAAAUGUUUUUAAAUGUUUUUAUAGGGGGGAAUACAAGUUAAACAUGCCAGUUAUCAUAUUAAUCACAUGUGAUUGAUAACCCGCAUGCACAAGAUUUUACCACUUUACACUGUUUUACCGAGUGGGGCACUAUAAAGAUUUUUACUUAUUACAUAACUUUUACUUAUACUGAUUUAUCCAAAUUCAUUCUAAAUUGGUUAAUGAAAGAUUCUAUAAGGUUUUUUUUAAACAUAUUUUACAAAAGAAUACAAUUCGUGAUUUACUCUGUACAUAAAGGCUUUUCAUUAAAGAUUUCCUUUUCGACGUAUACUUUUACUUGUUCAAUACUGUUGCUUCGCUUAUACUUAUUUCAUACUCCUACUCGGUAACGCUUUCACUUAUACUUGAAGUCACUUAUACCUGAUGACGCUUAUACUUAUUCACACUCUUACUUAGUGAUACGGUUCUACCUCACUUAUACUUGAUAUCGCCUUUACCUCACUUAUACUUGAUAUCACCUUUACUUCACUUAUACUUGAUAUCGCCUUUACUUCACUUAUACUUGAUACGCUCUUACUUCACUCAUUGUCAUCUCUACUUCGUGAUACGCAUAUACUUAUUCGACACUCUUACUUCACUUGCGACCGCUCUUACUUCACUUGUUAGACACUCCUACUUCACGAGAAUCACUUUUACUUGAUACCCACUCAGUUGUAGUUAGAUGUAUGUCUGUGUUGGGAUAGAUGCAUAUAAAUAAUGAUUGAAGGACUUAGGAAGGUUUGUCCGCCCUAUUUCCUUUUCUUCGUUGAGAUGUGGUCUGGUGGGAUCAGAUGUCCAUCCGAAGGUCGUUUGAUUUAUUAUUUAUAUACUAUGUACACAAGCAUAGACAUAUAGGUUACUGCAGUCAGUUCAGUUAUGAGUCUCUACCUUUAGUUCAACACUUACAUUAGAAACCCACUAGUUGGAAGUCUCUACCCACUAUUUGGGAUGCAUCUUCAGGACACGGCCUUCUCCGUCGUCUAGUUGGUAACCAGAGUCUCCUGUAAGGAGAGCGGACAUUGUGUGUAUAGAUCUAUACGGGAUUGACACCCCCACAUCCUGACUGCUAGCUACAGACCACGACUCACCAAGUUAAGGGGUGACAAAUGUCACAUUAUAUAGAUGCUCGUAGGGCGUCUGGUAUCUAGUGUCGGUUAGUAUGGUUACGAGUAUUCCGGGUUACCUUAUAAUUCAUGGCCUUAAGGUAACGGUAUUUCGCCAGCAAUUUACACUGUAUGCUGGUAGCUCAUUUUCAGAGUCACACUGUUUUGACCCUACAAGACGUAUCUUACAUUUAAAUGUUGUCUGGGGUCUGUAUCCACUGUAUUCACAGAAUCCACUGUAUUCAUUAUGUUCACCGCAUUCAUUGUUUUAGACCCUGCUAGACGUGUCUUUCAUUUGAUAUCGUCUGUGGUCUGUAUUCACUGUUUUGGACCUUACCAGCUGUACCUUUCAUUUGGUACCUUCUGGGAUCUGUGUCUCUAUUUGUUAGACUGAACCAGGCGUGUCGUUCGUUCGAUACUCUCCUGGAGUCUAUGAUUCUUUGCCUUAGUCAGCAGUCCUCAUUGCUGAGGCAUAUGUUAUUCCCUGAUGACAUUCGCUUUCCGCAAUAAUCAGAUUCAGUAUUUUGAUAAAGAUAGCAAUUUACGGAAAAUAACUUUUUACCACAUAACACUGACCAGUCUUGGUAGAAGGCUGCUUUGAUUAAAGAAAAUAUAGGAUUUUUUGGAAAGAACUCUAAUACACUGUAAACACUUAAAUUAUUACUUUAUAAAGUUAUUUAAAUGAAAUGUCACUAAAUACUUAUGAACUCACCAGCAUUUGUAAAAAUGCUGAUACUCGCUUUUCAAAUAACUUGUAUUCUCAGGUUAGCAUUAGACAAGUACAUCCCAGGAGUAGUUGACGAAGAUAGCUUAUUACCUCGAUGUACUUAUUAUAUUUGUCUGUAUUACUUUGAUGUAUUUUAAUAUAACCAUGUAAAAAUUAUUACUAUUAAUACAAUGUUCUGUUGUACUUCGGUUACUAUAUGCAUGUGUUGUGAUACUUGACAUGAAGUCAUCCAACCCAGAACGUUUCCGCCGUUCCGGUUAUGGGGUGUGACACCUAUACUACCGGAAGCACAAGACUCACACUUGGAUCAGGGAAAGUCACAAGGUUACCAAGAAGCUAGUAAUUGAUUUCGUUCUAUUGAAGUAUGUCGUUACCAUUGUUUCGGUAAUGACUAAGAAAAUUGUUGUUAUCCCGACCCUAGUGGUCAUAUCACAUUAAGUCCGACUACGAUGAGUAGGUUACGUGGUUCAGAGAACCAAUUUUGAUGUAGCGUCCGAUUUAAACCAAACGAUUGAAAUCCAAGCGAUCAUUAGAAGUAUCGUGCUCAUUGUUAAAGAAGUUGGUAGCUAGAAAUGAUACAUGUUAAAAUGUGAUUAUAUCACAUUAGACCAUGAAGGAAGGGAUAUUCCAUUCCGGAAUUUGACUCUUAGAGACCUGAGUCUAAGCGUUGCUACAUACGAUGAUAGGUCAUUAGAAUAUGACACAUCGAUCCAUAGUAGUAAUAAAAGAACAUAUCUCAAGUUUGUAUCCAGUGAGGAUCAAGAUUGUGACUUGAAAGUCAUAAUUUGGAGUCUAGCAUGAGGUAGAGAGCAGGUGCACGAUCAAGUACUGCCUACAUUCGAUAAGUCUAAGAGAUAGACUUGAAGGAAUAUAGAUGUUAUAAGUAUUACCUAAAAUGAAGUGAUGACGUAUGGAGUCAUUAUAUGACCCUGUUUCGUUGAUGAUUCUGCGACGUAAUCAUCCUAAGGGGGAGAUAAUUGUAACGCCCGCAGCUCCGGGUUAGUCAAUUUAGAGGCGAUAAGUGUCGAAAACGACUUUUCGACAAAAGAUUAUUUAUAAUAAAUAGUCUUAACCAAGUUGUAGAAUAUGUCUCAAGGUUUUCGUACAUAUAAAGAACGCCGAAAUCCGAGUUAUAACGAAGAAGUUAUGGCCUGACGAAGUUUUACGACGGAACCGGCACGAUACCGGGAUGCGUAAAUAGUGAAUUUACGAUAGAGCGAGAUUUAGCCUUAGCAAUCUAAAAGAAAGUCGUAGAAUAUGUUAAACUAAGAACAUCGAUAAAAAGAACGCCCAAAUCUGACUUCGUGUGAAGAAGUUAUGAUUUUUCGAAGUUUCGGACUAGCAGUGUACAACCCGAAAUUCGAAUAUUAGAUCGGGCGGUUUUUAGCCGACACGACCUGAACGAUAAUUGAAGAUCUCGUUAAGAGUAGCGUAACGAGAAAAAGAUGGACGAAAACGGACGUCGGAUGAAGAAGUUAUGAGAAUUUAACGAACCAAUCUUUUCCCGACCUGUUAAUAAUAUAAAAUUUAAAAUCGAGUAAAAAAUAGCCGACGAAAUCUAAAUGAAAGUUGUAGAGCACAUUCUCACCUUCAUGUGGAUAUAAAGAACGUCGAAAACGGAGCUCGUAUACGAAAGUUACAAAUUUUUAAAGUUGACUAUGCAAAUUGCGAAAUCUGAUGCGAGACAGAUGAUGUGGCAUCAUCGCAGCCGUCCAUAGCCGAUCACAGAGCACCCUUCGGAUCACGCCACGUGGCCUCGCUUUGCCUUACGCCCCGCGUCGAAGUUUGGUACGCCCAGCGUACCCUCGGCCCUUAUGCUCUUCCGAAGUGCGAGCCAGCUGGUGCGAGCUGGCAACCCUAUCCGAACUACGCCCAGCGUAGCAGCUGAAUGCGCAACGUAGUCCGAGCUGCUGAGCGCCUAUAAAAGGCUGCGAAGAUUUCCAAGUUUUCACACAAUUUUCCUUCUCUCUCUAGAUUUCUUUCUCUCUCUCUCUCUAGCCUAUCUUGAGCCCCCUAAACCCUAGAUAAGCCCCUUAGCUCUUGAGGGAAGCCCCGAGGCUCCCGGAGUCCCGAGAAAAAGAACCUUUCGGUUUCGAAACGCUGCUCCAAUUAAGUUUCGGUUUUAGAUAAAAUUCGCUGUAAGUGUGCUACGCUUACGCAAUUUUUAAUAUAGCUUUCAAAUAAUUAUAGGAAUGUUAUUAAGUCCUUAAAAUAAUUAUUUGGGCUAUUAUUAUGAGUUAUAUUGAGUGUUAUUAACGCUUAAUAAUAAUCAGACUAAUUAAUUUGUCGUGGUUAUCGUUAGACUAAACCUAGUGGUAUUGGUAUUAGGUUUUAUCGAAGGAAAAUCGUUUUGAGAGUAUCGAAGCGGUGUCCGAGUGCUGAGUCACCACCUUUCAGGUGAGUGCAUGGUCCCCUUCAACUUACACAUAGAUAUGAAGUAUUUACUACGUGCUAUGUGUGCAUACUAUCUGUUUACUUGCUGUCUAUGCUCGGUGAACGAUUUUAUACAUGUUUUAAAUGAUUUAAACUGUAUAUAUAUAUUUUAUAUCUACGAAAAUGUUGGGGUAAGACAUGGGUAGAUGUAAUAGAUGAAAUAUGAGUUGGAUGAUGAGUUGAGAGGUAAAAUAGACUGUGGGGUGAGGGUGAGAGGUGGACGAUGUGAGAAGCCUUUUUUCCAAAAUGACGCCCCGUCAUUCAGCAGAGUAUGGAUGACAACCACGGACUAUUCUUGACAGUCCAGUGGAACACUAUUAGGCUCGCAACCUGUAGGUGUUGUGAAUGACGUGUUCACUGGUGUACUCUAAAAACCCAUUGAUAUGUAUUGAGAGUGGACUCUCGAAAACGAUACUGUCAAUAAAACCCGACAAAAGCGCCUAAAGGACUCUAUUGGUAGAAGCGCCUAAUAGAGAACCUCAUAACCCCGACAGAUGCGCCUAAAGGACUAUUUCGGCAGAUGCGCCCCAUAGAGAAUGUCACAAUUUUGGUAGUUGCGCCCUAGUGACAGAAGUAGCAGGUUGUGCUUGAUAGAUGUGUCAUUUACAACGAUGGAAUUCAUACCUAUUCCUUAGGAUACUCCUUAGGAAUGAAUGAACAAGAAAUAGCUGAUUCUUAGGGUAGAUCCUUAAGAAUAAAGAAGAUGAUGGGGAUGGGUAAUUGGGUUAACUUUUUGAUGAUUAAACAUAAUAAUUAUAUUAUUGUGGGUUGAAAACCCUAUGUACUCACCGGGUUUCCCAACCUGACCCACUCAGUUUAUUUAUAUCACAGGUGACGAUAUGAAGUGACAUUACACUGAGAGAUUUAUGGAGAUGUAGAUCACCAGUGUAAAUAAUUGUAAGUUCUGUUUAUUCUUAUGUUUCUAUAUUAACGAUGACAUCCCAAACGUUUUAAAAUGAAAUAAAUAUGUUUCUUCGAAAAUGUUUUAAUAACGUAUUCAUCAUGUUUUUCUGGGAACAAAUUCUGCAACAUUUUUAUUAAAAGAAGUACUUUGAUUUUUAUAAAGCAUAAACAAAAUCGGUCUUUUCUGGCCGUGAAAAUGGGGAUGUCACACUAGACAGCAUUCAGGACUUGAUACGGACACUACGACUUCGUAGUGAUCCCUUCGGUUUAACCAACGCAUCGGCUGUGUACAUGAACCUGAUGAACCGGGUGUGUCGCCUUUUUCUGGACAAGUUCAUCAUUGUGUUCAUUGAUGACAUACUUGUCUACUCUAGAAGCAAAGAAGAUCACAAACAACACCUGAGGUCAGUGUUGGAAACCCUUAGAUCUGAAAAGCUAAACGCGAAAUUUUCCAAGUGUGAAUUCUGGAUUCGGAAGGUAACUUUCCUCGGUCAUGUGGUAAGCGAAGAGGGUAUUCACGUGGAUCCUUCCAUGAUCAAAGCGACAGAGAAUUGGUCGACACCGAAAACACCCACAGAAAUCCGUCAAUUCUUGGGUCUCGCUGGCUAUUAUCGGAGAUUCAUCCAGAAUUUUUCCAGAAUCGCCAAACCCUUAACCACUCUAACAUAGAAAGGUGUACCCUUUUGUUGGAAUGAAAAGCAAGAGACUGCGUCCAAACAUUAAAGCAAGCCUUGCGCAAUGUACCUGUUAUGUCCCUGCCCGAAGGGACAGAGGACUUCGUUGUCUAUUGUGAUGCGUCUAAUCAGGGCUUACGCUGUGUGCUUAUGCAAAGAGGAAAAGUUAUUGCUUAUGCCUCGAGACAGCUGAAGGCACACGAGGUCAACUAUACCACCCACGACCUGGAGUUAGGUGUCGUAGUCUUUGCAUUGAAGAUUUGGAGACAUUAUCUCUACAGAACCAAGUAUACGAUCUUCACUGACCAUAAGAGCCUGCAACACAUCUUCAAUCAAAAAGACUUAAACAUGAGGCAACGAUGAUGGGUAGAGCUACUCAGUGACUAUGAGUGCGAGAUUCGCUACCAUCCCGGCAAGGCCAAUGUGGUAGCAGAUGCCCUUAGCCGAAUGGAAAGUUCAAGCCGUAAAGUGAGGACACUGACGAUGACUAUUCAUUCCCAUUUAUCCAUACGGAUCUGAGACGCCCAGUUAGAAGCCCUCAAACCAGAGAACGUGUCAAGCGACGCCUUGAGGGGAAUGGAUAAGAAACUUGAGAACAGAGGUGACGGAGUCUACUGUUUUAUGGACCGAAUCUGGACCCCAAAGUUCGGAGGAUUCAGGGAGGUUGUCAUGGAGGAAGCACACAAGACCAGAUACUCUGUUCACCCGGGUUCGGGUAAGAUGUACCUGAAUCUCAAGAAACAAUACUGGUGGCCAAACAUGAAAGCCAAGAUUGCUACAUUUGUGGCCAAGUGCUUGAAUUGCACCAAGGUGAAAGUCGAGUACCAGAAACCUUCGGGUUUGCUCCAGCAACCUGAGAUACCCAAGUGGAAAUGGGAGAUAAUUACCAUGGAUUUCAUCACCAAGUUACCCAAAUGUCUGAGUGUGUACGAUACCAUUUGGGUAAAUGUCGAUCGUUUGACAAAAUCCGCUCACUUCAUUCCGAUCAAAGAAUCAUUCAAGAUAGAAAGACUCACGCGAAUCUACAUCCAAGAGGUAGUUCGACUNAUUGCACCAAGGUGAAAGUCGAGUACCAGAAACCUUCGGGUUUGCUCCAGCAACCUGAGAUACCCAAGUGGAAAUGGGAGAUAAUUACCAUGGAUUUCAUCACCAAGUUACCCAAAUGUCUGAGUGUGUACGAUACCAUUUGGGUAAAUGUCGAUCGUUUGACAAAAUCCGCUCACUUCAUUCCGAUCAAAGAAUCAUUCAAGAUAGAAAGACUCACGCGAAUCUACAUCCAAGAGGUAGUUCGACUGCACGGUGUACCUACGUCGAUUAUCUCUGAUCGAGAUAGCAGGUUUCCCUCCAUAUUUUGGCAGUCUCUUCAGAAGGCUCUUGGAACUAAACUAGACAUGAGCAUGACUUAUCAUCCUCAGACCGAUGGACAAAGUGAGAGAACUAUCCAAACCCUGGAAGACAUGCUGAGAGCAUGUGUCAUCGAUUUCAGAAAGUCGCGGGACACACAUUUGCCUUUGAUCGAGUUCUCGUACAACAACAGUUACCACACCAACAUCAAGGCUACUCCGUUUGAAGCCCUCUACUGUCACAAGUGCAGAUCCCCUCUGUGCUAGGCCGAGGUAGGGGACACGCAGCUAGCUAAGAGUUGAGUCCCCGACAGUGCUCUCACGGGUACUAAAAUCAUUCAUGAAACCACCAAAAAGAACAUCCAAAUUCGGGAACGAGUGAAAGAUUCACAAGAUAGACAAAAGAGUUACGCUGAUAAUCGACGGAAACCUCUGGAGUUCCAGGUUGGAGACCGUGUCCUAUUGAAGGUCUCGCCCUGGAAAGGCACAGUACACAUUGGAAAGCGUGGGAAACUUAACCAAAGGUACAUUGGACCUUUUGAGAUCCUCGCCAGGAUCGGUCCUGUAGCCUAUAAACUUCGAUUACCCCAUGAGCUUAGUAACAUCCAUCCUGUAUUCCACGUCUCGAAUCUUAAAAAGUGUUUAACCGAUGAAACCCUUGUGAUCCCUCUGGACGUGAUUGAGAUCAACGAAAACUUGAACUUCGUGGAGGAACCGAUCGAAAUCAUGGAUCGAGAGAUCAAACAUAUGAAUCAAAGCUGCAUCCCGAUCAUAUAGGGAUUUGAUAUUGAACUAUUGGUGGCCCUGCAUGAAGCGGGAGAUAGUCGGGUUUGUGGAGCAGUGCUUAACCUGUAGGAAGGUCAAGGUCGAGCAUCAGUGACCUCAAUGCAAGGUUUAGCCAUUACCUAUUCCCAUGUGGAAGUGGGAAGAGAUCACUAUGGAUUUCCUCACGAAGCUACCACGGACAACGAGGGGAGUAGAUGCCAUAUGGGUGAUUGUGGAUAGACUGAAGAAGAGUGCCCAAUUCAUUCUGAUCUCCGAGGGUAUAUCUGCAAAGAAGUUGGCGAACAUCUAUGUUCGAGAGGUGGUUGCUAGGCACGGAGUGCCGAUAUUAGUGGUUUCUAAUAAGGAUGUUCGGUUUACAUCCAGAUUUUGGAAAAAAUUCCACAAGGAACUGGGUACUCAACUGCAUUUUAGUAUAGCAUAUCACCCCAGACCGACGACCAGAGUAAGAGGACGAUCCAGACACUGGAGGAUAUGUUGCGGGCAUGUGUGCUGGAUUUCGGAGGAAGUUGUAAUACCUACCUCCUACUGCCAGAGUUUCCGUACAAUAACAAUUGUCAUGCCAGUAUUGACCGAGCACCAUUCGAGAUGUUAUAUGGGCGGAGUUGCAGGACCCAGUAUGCUGAGACGAUGUUGAGCAUCGGGUCUUGGGGAGCACGGAGGUGGUACUCGAUACCACCAGAAUGAUUCAGCAGGUGCACAACCGGUUGCGAGUCGCGCAAAGCCGUCAGAAGAGUUAUGCGGACCGACGGCGAUCGGACCUCGAAUUUCAGGAAGGGGGCCUUGUCUUACUAAAGGUGUCGCCCUGGAAAGGGAUUAUCUGGUUCCGGAAGAGGGGCAAAUUGGGGCCUCAGUUCAUAGGCCCGUUCAGGAUCAUAGCCCGGGAGGGCAAGGUGGCAUAUCUUUUAGAGCUCCCAGAGGAGCUUAGUCGGAUUCACAACACCUUUCAUGAGUCUCAGCUUCGGAAUUCUGUUGCCGAUGAGUCCUCAGUCAUAUCCUUGGACGACAUACAGUUGGAUGAGAGCCUGAAUUAUGUUGAGAGACCAGUUGCGAUUUUACACAGGAAGACGAAGAAACUCCAGAAUAAAGAAGUGAAGUUGGUAGAGGUGCAAUGGCAGCACCGAAAGGGUUCCGAAUGGACUUGGGAAUCAGAGGAUGAAAUGCGAGGGUUCUAUCCGGAAUUGUUUGGAUCAGGAGGCUUCGAGGAAGAAUCCUAAUUCAAUUGGGGGUGAGUUGUGACUCCCUGAUCCUCAGGUAUUAAUAAUAUUGUAUCUUUUGAGUUUUAAAGGAUCUACUCGAUGAGUUGGUCUCCCUACUCGUCGAGUGGUAGCGGGUUGGUCCGCGAAGUUUAAUGACCUACUCGCCGAGUCCAGAAUGGGACUCAACGAGUAGACGCUGGCGGAUGAACCCUAAAUUUCGGGGUUUGCACCCUAUUUAAAGGGUCAUUAGCCUCCCCCAUCCUCUCCUUUAUAGCUUCUUGUCUCCCUUAAACCCUUAUUCGAGUGUGUGUGUGUCCUUUGGUGAGUUUAAGCUUGAAGGAAAAAAUUGGUGAAGGAAACACUUGAAGUAACAAGCUAGAGGAAGCAAAGCAUUCAUGGGGUUCAAGAUCUACUUCAGUGAAGCAUUCUCUAAAGGUGUUAUUCUGUUUCCCUUGGCUCGUUUCCACCCAAAACCCUUUUUUGCAUGGGUUCUAAGAAAAGGGUUUUUGUGCUUAAGCCAAGAUCUGAAGUUGUAACUUCAAAUCUGGACUCCCUUUGGCCUCUAGGUUCAUAAAAUUAUCAUUUUUGUCUAGCAUGAGCCUCCCCUCAAGUGUGUGACUCCAUUUUAAGCUUAGUUUUGCCAUUUUAGGGCCUUAAACCCUUGCAUGCAUGUAAAGUUUGCAACUUUACGUGAAAAGCAUCCCUUAGAAGCUUGGAUCCGUAAUUUGGAAUCGUUGCAUGGCUCAAAAGAGUCUGUAUGGCUUAAGGACUAUAUGGACUCGGGGAGUCGUAAGGGUUGACUCAACGAGUUGGAUGAACAACUCGGCAAGCCCGAUGAACUCUUGACUUGCCGAUGAACAACUCGGCAAGCCCAGGGAUGACUUUGGGGGAUAUGACUGGUUAUUGUAUGACACUGUUUAUGUAGUUAAGUUGGAGCAGCUUGUGGGGUAUAUUUGGUCGCAAAUUGUCAGUUCAACAUUCGUUUCAGGUGAGUCCUCUCCCCGUACCUAUGGGUCUAAGGCACCAAGGCCGGCCCAUUAUGUGAACAUGUUAUGUGUGUGCCAUUCUUUCAUUAAUUGGUAUGUUAUGUAACAUUAUAUUUGCAUGAAAGACCCUGGGGGAGCCCAUGGCAUUGGAUAUAAGACCAUGUGGGGUAGCCCAUGGCAUUCCUAGGUAAAGACCAUGUGGGGUAGCCCAUGGCAUUGGACAUAAGACCAUGUGGGGUAGCCCAUGACAGUCCUAGGUAAAUACAAUGUGGGGUAGCCCAUCACAUUCUUGUUAAAUCGUAUUGCAUAGUUUAUGUGGUAUGUUUAUAGCUUAUUCUUCUAUCAGGAUAUGUGUAUGUGAUUGUGUGUGGUAUGCUCAGCGAAACUCACUAAGCAUUUUGCUUACAGGUUGUUGAUUUGUUUCAGGUACUUUUCAGUCCAAGGGCAAGGGCAAGGCGUGAUGACGUGGCGUGCACUCUACUUCUUUUUACUAAGUUUGGGAUCCUCUGAUGUUUUGAAAGAAGACAAUGAUGUAAUAAAUGACGAUUUGGAAACAAAAGAUUUGGAUUGAAUUAAGAACACGUAGAGUAAAUAUAAUCUGGUUUCGGCUCAUAUUAUGCUUUCACGAUACAAAGAGUUUCAGACAGAGAAUAGCAAUAGUUCUAUCUGGCUUUAGUAUCGUUCCCUAUUUAGAGGAAAACAGAUAGCAUACAAAAAAUACAAAGGACUAAGCAUACAAAAAAUACAAACUAAUGAAGCUACUCUAUGACCUACGACACCUUACAACAAAAUUCGACAUUUACAAUCUCCCUCUUUGUUACAACUGUUCUCCCUCGAAACGGCGCCAAAAACUAGAAAUGCAUAUUUUAUAUUUACAUAUCAUCAUGUUUUAAUUUUUAAAUCUUAAUCUUGUAUGGAUAAACUAAUACACUCGCGGUUGACCUAAUCUUGUAGCAAUAUAGUUUUGGUAAGACCGGAUGUUGAUCUCAAGGAGAAUGAGAUUACUGCAAAUUAAAUUAUGAACAAUAAAGUAAACAAUAUAUUUUUUCUAAGUUUAAUUAAACUUAAUAAAGCAAACACAAAACUAGAGUGUAGUUUUAGAGAUCAAGAUCUUUUCACAUAGAUUUGAAUCUCACAUUUAGGUAUGGUGGAUUCCAAUAAAGUGCAAUUAAUAUUAGUUAUUAUCUAAAAAUUUAUUGUGUAAUAGUUUUGUUGAUCGGAUUUAGUAAAUUGUACAAUUAUAAAGACAAUUAACACAAGCAUCAUGCAACUAACUAUCUAAACAAUUAUAAUUAAGUUCCUAAUGUUUUGUGAAGUUUAAUUUCUAAUUGAAUUCCAAUAUAAAAUAUAUUAAAUGAUCAUAUUUAUUAUUUAUUAUAUUUAUUUCAUAAAUAGUAUGCUCUUAUUUCAUAUUAAUGGAAAGAUAUAUAAAUAAUAGAUAAUAGUUGAAAAUAGUAAAGGGGUGGAUGUACGCGAGUGGAUCAAGGUUGUGGAUUUUGUAUCCCCCAUGCACGUGCUCAGUUCAUGUCAUUCACUCGAAUUUAUUUUUUUAAAUAAUUUAUUCGCUACUAGUAGAUUUUAUUGUUGAAGAUGUCACAGCUUUCUAGUUUUUUUGUUUUGUAAUACAAAGAAAGUAAUUAUAUUUUCUAUAUUAUUUACUACGAAAAAGAAAAACCAAAUUAUCAAUAACUAUCCGUACAUGCAUCCUAAGUAAAUAAAUGUAUUUCUUCAUCAUUUAAGUUAAGCUUAUCAAAUAUGCGGGUGAUACGACUAAACAACUCAAAAGGAACAUACAUAAUCUAUUGUUCUCAUAAAGUAACACCAGAAUAUGAUGUUUUUAUCGGUAAUUCGGUACUCCUAUAUUUAAGGAGGAACACAUUCACAUAAUUUCUCAAUACAAACUGCAUGGGUAGGAGGUGGACACGGGAAGAAAUCACAUUCAUAUUGAUUUCUACAUGUUUCAACAAGACCUUUGUUGUCGAAAAUUGGGGUUAGAGUUUGGUUUCUACUAUCAACGUCGAAAUCUGUCUGCGAUUUUGCAAAUUGAACCGAUGAGGCUGCAAUAGCACAAAUACAUGUUUACAUUAUUGUCCAUUCUACCAAAGUUUAUGAAACAUAUANAUAUAUAUAUAUAUAGAGAGAGAGAGAGAGAGAGAGAGAGAAUAACCUAUAGUAAACAAGAAUAUGAUGAAAAAAAUAAUUUUGAACAAAACAUUCAUCUUAAUUCGUUUUGAGAUGGACUUAUGUUAUGAACAUUAGUAAAUAGUCGUAUGAAAUUUAUAGAGACGAAAGAAAUAUAUAAUCAAUACCAUAAUAAUUACUUAUUGCUAAUUUCCAAAUAUAAAUUUUCAAUUAAAAGGAUUUUCCUAACCAAAACUAACAUUUCAAUUAAUGGUAAUAUUUGUAGAGUUUGAAAGAAAAUUUUCUAUUAAUACUAUAAUGAUUAGUUUUUGGUAAUUUACAAACAUAAAAUUUCAAUAAAAAGACAACUAUAGUAAAACUACAUUUUCAAUUAAUAAUAUAUUAUUUCUUCCAAAUAUAAAUUUUACAAUUAAUCUUAAAUGGCAAAUUUAUAAAUCAUUGAAUAGUAAAAAGUUUCAUAAGGUAUUUUAUUAGUUGUAAUUAUAUUUUGAAUCAAUUGCAUGUAUUUCUAAUAAGACUUGUCUUUGUGUGUGUAUAUGUGAUAUGAUGUGCUAUGUGAGCAUACCCAAUUAAUAAAAAUGUAAACUUUAUCAUUCUCAUUGUCACAUCCUACAAUAUUUAUAGGCUAAUGUUAUAUGUACCCACCCAUUUACAAGGCAUACCCCCACAUUUGAGUAUGUGAAUGUGUGUAUGUGUGUAUGGGACUCUUUAUGUAAAUAAGAGGAUACAUAUAGUAGCACCCAAUUCAUAUUUCGCGAGGAUGUAAUUUUGUAUCAGAAUACAAAAGAAAUUUUACUGUUAUUGCUAAUGGGUUGUAUGCAUUACAACAUUUCUAUGGUGCACAUGCAACCCUACUUGCUUUGGAUCUAGGUUUUCCUCAAGUUAUACAUGCAAGUUGAUUCUCUAAAGCAAAACCUUAAUCUAGCAUACAUAAUUUUGAAAUUCUAAUUCAGAUUAGGGUUUGAAGAAUACCAUUCUUGUUGAAUGCUUGAUGCUAGCCUUCAAGAGCUUAGUGCCUCAAUUUGUGCACCUCUAAUGGAGUCACAAACACCACUAGCAACAAGGCAGAACAAGAGAGAGAGAGAGAGAGAGAGAGAGAGAGAGAGAGGAGAAAGAUUCAAAAAUUGGACAGGGUUUAAUCUAGGGUUCAAGUGUCCGAUUUUAGGAGCAUUGGGGUUCCUUUUAUAGUUGAGGCUUACAAGGGUUUUCAACUGGAAAUCCGAAUUCCCUUUUUAGGCCCUAAGCAGCACAUGGAACCACAAAUGGUAUGCCUUGGACGAAAACUCUAUGGGCUCACCAUAGAUUUUCAUCCAUCAUAUACCAAUAGGAUCCAUUAGCCAAAACUAUAACUAUUAUUGAUUUAGAUAAUCAGUCCCAAUUCUUUAAAUCAGUCUCUUUUGCUCACCAAAUUAAUUCUAAAUUAAUUUUUGACCAAUACUAUUUAAAUAAUAUGAUUUCUCAAUUAAUAUAUUAUGUAGUAGUUAUUUAAUCAAGUAAUGAAACGAGAUCAGAGUUGGAUUGAAUUAAGAAGACAAAGAGUAAAUAUAAUCUUGUUUCAGCUCAUAUUAUGCUUUCACGAUACGAAGAGUUUCAAACAGAAGAAUAGAAAAAGUUCUAUCUAGCUUUAGUAUUGUUCUCUAUUUAUAGGAAAACAAAAAGCAUACAAAAAAUACAAAGGGCUAAGCAUUACAGUUUAGAAACAAUUUGCCUUUGUAAUAAUGUUACAAACUCACGAAGCUACUCCAUGACCUUUAACGCCUUACAACAAAAUUCGACACUUACAAUCUCCCCCUUUGUUACAACUGUUCUCCCUCAAAACGAUGCCAAAAACUUGAAUGAAUAUUUUAUAUAUAAAUAUUAUCAUAUGUUAAAUUUUAAAUUUUAAUCUUCCAUGGCUAAAUUAAUCCAUAGGCGGUUGACCUAAUCAUGUAGCAAUAUUGUUUUGGUAAGAACGGAUGUCGAUCUCAAGGAGAAUGAGAUUACUGCUAAUUAAGUUAUGAACAAUAAAAUAAACAAGGGAUUUUUUCUAAGUUUAAUUAAACUUAAUAAAACAAACACAAAACUAGAGUGUAGUUACAGAGAUCAAGAUCUUUUCACAAAGAUUUCAAUCUCAUAGUCUCGUGGAUUCCAAUAAAGUGCAAUUAAUAUUAGUUAUUAUCUACGAAUUUACAGUGUAAUAGCUAUGUUGAUCAGAUUUAGUAAAUUCUACAAUUAUAAAGACAAUUAACACAAGUAUCAUGCAAUUAACUAUCUUAACAGUUAUAAUUAGGUGCGUAAUGUGUUUUGAAGUUUAAUAUCCAAUUAAUUUCCAAUAUAAAACAAAUUAAAUUAUCAUUUUUAUUAUUUAUUAUAUUUAUUUCAUAAAUUGUAUGCUCUUAUUUCAUAUUAAUGGAAAGAUAUAUAAAUAAUAGAUAAUAGUUGAAAAUAGUAAAGGGGUGGAUGUACCCGAGUGGAUCAAGGAUGUGGAUUUUGUAUCCCCCAUGCAUGUGCUCAGUUCAUGUCAUUCGCCCAAAUUUAUUUUUUUAAAUAAUUUAUUCGCUACUAGUGAAUUUUAUAGUUGAAGAUGUCACAGCUUUGUAGUUUUUAUGUUUUGUAAGACAAAGAAAGUAAUUAUAUUUUCCAUAUUAUUUACUACGAAAAAGAAAAAUCAAAUUAUCAAUAACUAUCCGCACAUGCAUCCUAAGUAAAUAAAUGUAUUUCUUCAUCAUUUAAGUUAAGCUUGUCAAAUAUGUGGGUGAUACGACUAAACAACUCAAAAGGAACAAACAUAAUCCAUCGUUCUCAUAAAGUAACACCAGAAUCUGAUGUUUUUAUUGGUAAUUCGGUACUCCUACAUUUAAAGAGGAACACAUUCACAUAAUUUCUCAAUACAAAUUGCAUGGGUAGGAGGUGUACACGGGAAGAAAUCACAUUCAUAUUGAUUUCUACAUGUUUCAACAAGACCUUUGUUGUCGAAAAUUGGGGUUGGAGUUUGGUUUCUACUAUCAACGUCGAAAUUUGUCUGCGAUUUUGCAAAUUGAACCAGUGAGCCUGCAAUAGCACAAAUACAUGUUUACAUUAUUGUCCAUUCUACCAAAGUUUAUGAAACAUAUAAGGAACAUCAUAAGCCUUAUUUGUGUGAUAUAUAUAUAUAUAUAUAUAUAUAUAGAGAGAGAGAGAGAGAGAAAGAGAGAGAGAGAGAGAGAGAGAGAGAGAAUAACCUAUAGUGAACACGAAUAUGAUGAAAAACAUAAUUUUGAACAAAACAUUCAUCUUAAUUCGUUUUGAGAUGGACUUAUGUUAUGAACUUU